RNAcentral lists this ribosomal RNA (253 nucleotides) under uncultured bacterium. RNAcentral's name for it is "partial 16S ribosomal RNA". It matches the Rfam family "Bacterial small subunit ribosomal RNA", at positions 524 to 776 of the family's 1533-position model. The record is from RNAcentral.
UACGGAGGGAGCUAGCGUUGUUCGGAAAUACUGGGCGUAAAGCGCACGUAGGCGGCGCAGCAAGUCAGGGGUGAAAUCCCGGGGCUCAACCCCGGAACUGCCUCUGAAACUGCAGUGCUAGAAUCUUGGAGAGGCGAGUGGAAUUCCGAGUGUAGAGGUGAACUUCGUAGAUAUUCGGAAGAACACCAGUGGCGAAGGCGACUCGCUGGACAAGUAUUGACGCUGAGGUGCGAAAGCGUGGGGAGCAAACAGG